AGCGAACGCUGGCGGCAGGCUUAACACAUGCAAGUCGAGCGGGCCCUUCGGGGUCAGCGGCGGACGGGUGAGUAACGCGUGGGAACGUGCCUUCUGGUCUGGAAUAACCCUGGGAAACUAGGGCUAAUACCGGAUACGCCCUUUUGGGGAAAGGUUUACUGCCGGAAGAUCGGCCCGCGUCUGAUUAGCUAGUUGGUGGGGUAACGGCCUACCAAGGCGACGAUCAGUAGCUGGUCUGAGAGGAUGAUCAGCCACACUGGGACUGAGACACGGCCCAGACUCCUACGGGAGGCAGCAGUGGGGAAUAUUGGACAAUGGGCGCAAGCCUGAUCCAGCCAUGCCGCGUGAGUGAUGAAGGCCUUAGGGUUGUAAAGCUCUUUUAUCCGGGACGAUAAUGGCGGUACCGGAGGAAUAAGCCCCGGCUAACUUCGUG
Molecule: ribosomal RNA, 433 nt
Filed under: uncultured bacterium
Lineage: Bacteria
Description: partial 16S ribosomal RNA
Rfam family: Bacterial small subunit ribosomal RNA
Source: RNAcentral